GACGAACGCUGGCGGCGUGCUUAACACAUGCAAGUCGAACGGAAAGGCCCGGCUCUUGUUGGGUGGUCGAGUGGCGAAGGGGUGAGGAACACGAGAGUAACCUGACCUUGACCUUCUGAUAUCGUUAGGAAACUGGGGCGAAUAUCGGAUAGGAGCUCCUUCUGCUUGGUGGUGGGUGGUGAGUGUCGGAGGUUGUGUUUGGACUGGCGGGGUAUCAGCUUGUUGGUGGGGUGGGUGGUUACCAAGGCUUUGCCGGGGAGCCGGCCUGGGCGGGUGGCCGGCCACACUGGGACUGAGACACGGUCCAGACUCCGACGGGAGGCAGCAGCGGGGAAUAUGGAACAGUGGGGGCAAGCGUGAAGCAGCGACGCGGCGGGUGGGAUGGAGGCCGGCGGGUUGUGAACGUCUUUCGGUAGUGAAGCAGGCUUGCCUCGUGUGUGGGUGGGUUGACGGUAGCUGGUAAAGAAGCGCCGGCUAACUACGUG
RNAcentral lists this ribosomal RNA (485 nucleotides) under uncultured bacterium. Its description in RNAcentral is "partial 16S ribosomal RNA". It matches the Rfam family "Bacterial small subunit ribosomal RNA", at positions 28 to 507 of the family's 1533-position model. The record is from RNAcentral.